This 977-nucleotide ribosomal RNA is filed under the name uncultured Methanomicrobiales archaeon. RNAcentral describes it as "bacterial SSU rRNA". It matches the Rfam family "Archaeal small subunit ribosomal RNA", at positions 41 to 1029 of the family's 1478-position model. The record is from RNAcentral. Lineage: Archaea; Methanobacteriati; Methanobacteriota; Methanomicrobia; Methanomicrobiales.
AGUCUUAAGCCAUGCGAGUCGAGAGUUGCAAGACCUCGGCGCACUGCUCAGUAACACGUGGACAACCUACCCUGUGGAGGGGGAUAACCCCGGAAAACUGGGGAUAAUACCCCAUAGGUUAGGGAGGCUGGAAUGCCCCCUAGCUCAAAGGUCCGCCGCCACAGGAUGGGUCUGCGGCCGAUUAGGUUGUUGUUGGGGUAACGGCCCAACAAGCCUUUGAUCGGUACGGGUUGUGGGAGCAAGAGCCCGGAGAUGGAUUCUGAGACACGAAUCCAGGCCCUACGGGGCGCAGCAGGCGCGAAAACUUUACAAUGCGAGAAAUCGUGAUAAGGGAACCCCGAGUGCCCGUAAAUUCGGGCUGUCCGCCAGUGCAAAAAACUGGUGAAGAAAGAGCCGGGCAAGACCGGUGCCAGCCGCCGCGGUAAUACCGGCGGCUCGAGUGGUGGCCACUAUUACUGGGCUUAAAGCGUCCGUAGCUUGGUUGUUAAGUCUCCUGGGAAAUCCAUCGGCUCAACCGAUGGGCGUUCAGGAGAUACUGGCAACCUAGGGACCGGGAGAGGUGAGAGGUACUCCAGGGGUAGGAGUGAAAUCCUGUAAUCCUUGGGGGACCACCUGUGGCGAAGGCGUCUCACUAGAACGGCUCCGACAGUGAGGGACGAAAGCUGGGGGAGCAAACCGGAUUAGAUACCCGGGUAGUCCCAGCUGUAAACGAUGCGCGUUAGGUGUAUCGGUGACCACGAGUCACCGAGGUGCCGAAGAGAAAUCGUGAAACGUGCCGCCUGGGAAGUACGGUCGCAAGGCUGAAACUUAAAGGAAUUGGCGGGGGAGCACCACAACAGGUGGAGCCUGCGGUUUAAUCGGACUCAACGCCGGGAAGCUCACCGGAUAAGACAGCUGAAUGAUAGCCGGGUUGAAGACUCUGCUUGACUAGCUGAGAGGAGGUGCAUGGCCGUCGUCAGUCGUACUGAGUUAUNNNA